AGUGAACGCUGGCGGUAGGCCUAACACAUGCAAGUCGAACGGCAGCACAGUAAGAGCUUGCUCUUACGGGUGGCGAGUGGCGGACGGGUGAGGAAUACAUCGGAAUCUACUUUUUUGUGGGGGAUAACGUAGGGAAACUUACGCUAAUACCGCAUACGACCUACGGGUGAAAGCAGGGGAUCUUCGGACCUUGCGCGAUUGAAUGAGCCGAUGUCGGAUUAGCUAGUUGGCGGGGUAAAGGCCCACCAAGGCGACGAUCCGUAGCUGGUCUGAGAGGAUGAUCAGCCACACUGGAACUGAGACACGGUCCAGACUCCUACGGGAGGCGGCAGUGGGGAAUAUUGGACAAUGGGCGCAAGCCUGAUCCAGCCAUACCGCGUGGGUGAAGAAGGCCUUCGGGUUGUAGAGCCCUUUUGUUGGGAAAGAAAAGCAGCAGGUUAAUACCCCGCUGUUCUGACGGUACCCAAAGAAUAAGCACCGGCUAACUUCGUG
This 492-nucleotide ribosomal RNA is filed under the name uncultured bacterium. RNAcentral's name for it is "partial 16S ribosomal RNA". It matches the Rfam family "Bacterial small subunit ribosomal RNA", at positions 29 to 507 of the family's 1533-position model. The record is from RNAcentral.